Molecule: ribosomal RNA, 501 nt
Filed under: uncultured bacterium
Lineage: Bacteria
Description: partial 16S ribosomal RNA
Rfam family: Bacterial small subunit ribosomal RNA
Source: RNAcentral
GAUGAACGCUAGCGGCAGGCUUAACACAUGCAAGUCGAGCGGAGAUGAGGUGCUUGCACCUUAUCUUAGCGGCGGACGGGUGAGUAAUGCUUAGGAAUCUGCCUAUUAGUGGGGGACAACAUUCCGAAAGGAAUGCUAAUACCGCAUACGCCCUACGGGGGAAAGCAGGGGAUCUUCGGACCUUGCGCUAAUAGAUGAGCCUAAGUCGGAUUAGCUAGUUGGUGGGGUAAAGGCCUACCAAGGCGACGAUCUGUAGCGGGUCUGAGAGGAUGAUCCGCCACACUGGGACUGAGACACGGCCCAGACUCCUACGGGAGGCAGCAGUGGGGAAUAUUGGACAAUGGGCGGAAGCCUGAUCCAGCCAUGCCGCGUGUGUGGAGAAGGCCUUUUGGUUGUAAAGCACUUUAAGCGAGGAGGAGGCUACCUGGAUUAAUACUCUAGGAUAGUGGAUGUUACUCGCAGAAUAAGCACCGGCUAACUCUGUGCCAGCCGCCGCCGUAA